UGGCAGGAACCAUGCGAGAAGCUGCCAGCCAACCCCGCCAGGUCCGGAAGGAAGCAACGGCAACUGGAGAGCGCUGCGCCGUGGCCAAUCCUGCCCGGU
RNAcentral lists this signal recognition particle RNA (99 nucleotides) under Spirochaetaceae bacterium. RNAcentral's name for it is "signal recognition particle sRNA small type". It matches the Rfam family "Bacterial small signal recognition particle RNA". Rfam says of the family: The signal recognition particle (SRP) is a universally conserved ribonucleoprotein involved in the co-translational targeting of proteins to membranes. Lineage: Bacteria; Pseudomonadati; Spirochaetota; Spirochaetia; Spirochaetales; Spirochaetaceae. The record is from RNAcentral.